UUUCACGUCGCAGCGCCCUAGAAUUAGACGUUUUAUGGGAAUUUAAAAAAGAAAAAGAAAAAAAAAAGAUCGACCUUUGCCUUCGGAUAACCAAUAAUGCGUCAGAUGCUAAACAAAAUCGACGUUUAUUGUUGGAUUUAAAUAAGAAAGAAUUAAACAAAAAAGACACUUGGGAAGUUUGGAGAAAUUGACGUCAACCUCUUCGUUUCUAGCACCAAACUACAUUUUCCCAUAUCACUUAAGUAGACGUCCUUUUAUUAUUAAAGCCCAUAUCAGC
RNAcentral lists this long non-coding RNA (277 nucleotides) under Vigna radiata. Its description in RNAcentral is "long non-coding RNA (VRAD_LNC017058)". Lineage: Eukaryota; Viridiplantae; Streptophyta; Magnoliopsida; Fabales; Fabaceae. The record is from RNAcentral.